Molecule: long non-coding RNA, 310 nt
Filed under: Mytilus galloprovincialis (Mediterranean mussel)
Lineage: Eukaryota; Metazoa; Mollusca; Bivalvia; Mytilida; Mytilidae
Source: RNAcentral
UUGCAAAGAACCAGUCUAAAGUGAAACUUUUAAAAAGCAAUCUAUAUGGAGUUUUUGGACAAGAAAUAUGUUAUAAACCGAAAAAUUUGAAAUUUCUUAAAGUUUGAACCUGGAACAUUAUACCUGUUGUAUGUGAUUAGCUUUUCGGAACCUAUCCGUAUUCAAAUUUGUGGAAAAGACAUGAAGGAAAGUCGGAACAAUAUAGAAACUGGACUAAAACAAAAUUGUCGGACCAUUGUGAUUAUGUUUUCAAAAUAUUGUGUGAAUUGAUAAUGUAUAUAUAUGUAAAUAUUUUGUGAGUAUUGAUAUG